GGAAAAGGUUCAAGCCGGCGCCUGAGGCGGCUUUGGAGACAGUUCGGGAUGAAAUCUGGGGGAAAACCUGCCCAAACGGGGCUCGGAGCGAGACAAAGGACACCUGCACCGAGUGCCGCCUUUUCCCGCCAAUGUCACCUCAGGAGCCAAGAUGGCGUCGGGGAGAGUAGUCAGCGUUACCGCCAAAAAUCCGCGGCCCUUCCUGAGGGGAAAAAUACAUGUGUUUGAAAUUCCUUUGCCCCAAAGACGUUUUUCUGUAGCUGUUGUGUUCAGAGCUGUAAUUCACUCACAAAAAAAAAAAAAAAAAAAAAAGCGCCAAAAAACUCCAACCCAACCAACCAUAAAAAACCACAGCCCAAAACACCAAAAAACCCCACAUCCUCACCACACACACACACACACACAGAACCCUCAAAAAACAAAAGAUCCCCAUACAUUUCAAAAUAAAGAAUUGUGAUUAACCCCUCUGAAUUCUUAAAGUGACUAACCUUACAGUUGUGUUAGUUAUAGAUCCCAGAGCACAGUCUGGAAAUGGGAGUGUGGCAACAGCCUCCAGAGAUGCCAAAUCCAAGAUCAGGCUCCUGUCCAGCAGCUGAAGAGGCUCCUCCAUCAGACUAUUUCUCACUUUCCUCCUCGACAAGGACAAUGCUGAUGAGAAAUUGUACCUGUGACUGUUCCAGGAAAGCUCCCCAGCAGUGCUCCACACCACCAUGGCCAGGUGCUGCUGGAUGUCCUGAGCUGCCAUAACCCGAGUCUGGCUCACUGUUCUUCAGGAAACUCCUUUGGACGAGCUUGGGGAUCAAGGUGGGUGUAAUCUUUGAUCUGGAGGAGGGAUUUUACAGGAGGAAUAAGGAGAUGGGCUGAUGACAUCAAACAAACCACCCAGCUGGUCCCAUGUGACGAUCCUGGUGGGGCACCUGUGUCUCUCAGCCUAUUUUAGGGCAGCACCAGCCCUCUUUCCCCUUUCUCCUGGUUUCCUGAGGGCUCUGUGCUGCUCUGCUCCCUGAUGUCCCAGCACUCUGUGUUUCCUGGGAGUGGAAGAUGGACUCAAGCAUGAGAGGUAGGUGCAAGUAGGACAGAGGAUUGAACAAUUGUCAGAGGAGAUUUUUAUUUUCCAGGAGAAUUAUUUGGGUAUGAUAGUAAUUAAAAUGUUUGUGUAUAUGCAGCCUGUAUGUCAUGCUCAUACUUUUCUCUUUUGAGGGGUAAACUUCUAAGCCAUUUGAAUUAUGUUUUUUAUUGCUAUGAAAUCUGAAAUUAGUGAAGAACUUCAGGAAAGCAGUUGCUAUUUUUUUUUUUUGCAGUUACAACAGAAAACAACAGGAGCAGAAUAAUAAAGAAAAUACUUUGGUCUGUGA
Molecule: long non-coding RNA, 1355 nt
Organism: Pseudopipra pipra
Lineage: Eukaryota; Metazoa; Chordata; Aves; Passeriformes; Pipridae
Exons: 3
Source: RefSeq, a predicted model, not a curated record